This 331-nucleotide long non-coding RNA is filed under the name Stegodyphus dumicola. Its description in RNAcentral is "uncharacterized LOC118200638, transcript variant X1". The record is from RNAcentral. Lineage: Eukaryota; Metazoa; Arthropoda; Arachnida; Araneae; Eresidae.
AAUUUUAAGUUCUGAAUGGCUUGAAGCGUUCAAUGUGAAGUCAUUGAACGGUUGGCUCUGUUUAAGGUAUUUGUUACAAAAAAUUGCAGUAAAAAUGUGGCCUAUGUAUGUGGAUUAUUCGGAUGAUGAAUGUAGGAGAGUUUUACGGAGUUUAGAAUUAGAAGCUUAUGCAGCUGUUGUCAAUGCUUUUCGAGCUCAAGGUGCAUUGACCAAAGAAAGAAAGAAAUUGCUGCAAGAUUUGUGUUUUGCAUUAAGCAUAUCUAUAGAAAGGCAUAGAGCAGAGAUAAGGAGAGCUGUGAAUGAUGAGCAUUUGAACACAAUAGCAGAAAGG